This 465-nucleotide ribosomal RNA is filed under the name uncultured bacterium. RNAcentral's name for it is "partial 16S ribosomal RNA". It matches the Rfam family "Bacterial small subunit ribosomal RNA", at positions 28 to 507 of the family's 1533-position model. The record is from RNAcentral.
GACGAACGCUGGCGGCGUGCUUAACACAUGCAAGUCGAGCGAGGCCCCUCCUUCGGGAGGGUGUCCUAGCGGCGAACGGGUGAGUAACACGUGGGCAACCUGCCCUCAGCUCUGGGAUAACUCCGGGAAACCGGGGCUAAUACCGGAUACGACCUCCACGGGCAUCUGCGGAGGUGGAAAGUUUUUCGGCUGAGGAUGGGCCCGCGGCCUAUCAGCUAGUUGGUGGGGUAGUGGCCCACCAAGGCGACGACGGGUAGCCGGCCUGAGAGGGCGACCGGCCAAACUGGGACUGAGACACGGCCCAGACUCCUACGGGAGGCAGCAGUGGGGAAUAGUGCGCAAUGGGCGAAAGCCUGACGCAGCGACGCCGCGUGAGGGACGAAGGCCUUCGGGUUGUAAACCUCUUUCAGCAGGGACGAAGCGAAAGUGACGGUACCUGCAGAAGAAGCACCGGCCAACUACGUG